Psammomys obesus (fat sand rat) is the source of this 696-nucleotide long non-coding RNA. RefSeq lists it as uncharacterized. The transcript is spliced from 3 exons. The record is from RefSeq and is a predicted model, not a curated record. Lineage: Eukaryota; Metazoa; Chordata; Mammalia; Rodentia; Muridae.
UGUAAAACGGCCGAGGAAUAGGUGACGCUCGUUCUCAUACUACGCUUAGUUCGUCUGGAAGCCCGUCACCGGGAUGAGCAAAGGAAGCAGGAAGGAUUUUCAUCUGACCAUGGCCUCUGAGUUCCAAGAAGAUGUUUGGGCCAGACUACAGGUUUUUUCUGUUGAUGGACAAGAACAUGUGCUGACUGAGAGAAGAGGGUGGGACUCAGGCAAAACUGGCAUUACAUUUGACAACUGUGCAAAGGAAUGAACUGCUCAAAUGGGCUCUCCUUCCAUCACACCCCUGGUAUUGAAAAAGGAACCAGGACUAACAGCUGCAGCGUUUCCUGAAUUAGGUGGCCCAGAUCAAGGCUAACUCCAGGGUGCAGCCUAUCUCGGUGCACAUUCUCAAGAUGAAGAUUGCGUGUGCUCUUCUUCAAAGAACAGAGGUUGUCCUCAACAUAUUUCUCCCAUUAGCCUCUGCCCUGUGGGAAGAUAAUACUCUGGAAAUUGUGGAUGCACAGAGAGUUGACAAACUACUCUCUGCAAGAAAAGAAAAUGCCACCAAGGCUGGACAUGUGGGGUGGAUUCCUUGCCAUCCAGGGAAUGGCUCUGUGCUUUUUCUGUAAGAUACUGAGGCAGCAGGUGGGAAAGAGAGUUGCAGCAUUGCUGAUCAUAAGUCUGUACUGUAUUCAACAGUGGAGCCAUUUUUCUCUA